AUUUAAUUUUGAAUCCCCUGAGUAAUUGUUAGUAAAUAGUUGAGUGCUUAUAUUAGAAAAUAGUUUCUAUACUUUUAAAGCAGUCUUGAUAUAUGGAAAAAGGAAGAUCACCAACUUAUAAUCUAGAGAAAAAAGUAGCAAACUGGAUGAACCAACAACUAAAAGCCUAUCAAUAUACAGUACCACCUUCGGAAGAAUUUGUAAAAAAGAUAAGAUCACUCCGCAUCGAAGGUGACGAGAUUCUCACAACUUACGAUUUUGAGAAGCUAUACCCUGCGCUUAAUAUAACCCCAGCCUGUAUAAACCUAUACAGGUUUUUCUUGGAGAACAUACCAGACACCUCUACACACACACAUACACCC
Molecule: long non-coding RNA, 362 nt
Filed under: Androctonus crassicauda
Lineage: Eukaryota; Metazoa; Arthropoda; Arachnida; Scorpiones; Buthidae
Source: RNAcentral